This 253-nucleotide ribosomal RNA is filed under the name uncultured bacterium. RNAcentral's name for it is "partial 16S ribosomal RNA". It matches the Rfam family "Bacterial small subunit ribosomal RNA", at positions 524 to 776 of the family's 1533-position model. The record is from RNAcentral.
GACAGAGGGUGCAAACGUUGUUCGGAAUUACUGGGCGUAAAGCGAGUGUAGGCGGUUUGGGAAGUCAGGUGUGAAAGCCCUGGGCUCAACCCAGGAAGUGCACUUGAAACUGCCAAGCUAGAGUAUCGGAGAGGUUGGUGGAAUUCUCGGUGUAGAGGUGAAAUUCGUAGAUAUCGAGAGGAACACCGGUGGCGAAGGCGGCCAACUGGACGAAUACUGACGCUGAGACUCGAAAGCGUGGGGAGCAAACAGG